GAUCAAAAUAAAGGUUUCUCUGAGUGGGAUAAUGGUGUAACAAAGCAAAAUCAUCAGUCCAUUGUGAAGAUAAUAAUUAAUGGACAGAUUCACGAUGAUGUGGAUAUUGAUGGAUGUGUACUACCAAAAUUGGUGUACAUGGCACGUGAAAAGAGACCCCAGCAUCCCCACCACUUUAAAGCUGGAGCUAUGAAUGCACUGAUAAGAGUAUCCUCAGAGAUAAGCAAUGCUCCGUUCAUCCUCAACUUAGACUGUGAUAUGUAUUCAAAU
This 270-nucleotide unclassified non-coding RNA is filed under the name Hevea brasiliensis (rubber tree). Lineage: Eukaryota; Viridiplantae; Streptophyta; Magnoliopsida; Malpighiales; Euphorbiaceae. The record is from RNAcentral.